This 279-nucleotide ribosomal RNA is filed under the name uncultured bacterium. RNAcentral's name for it is "partial 16S ribosomal RNA". It matches the Rfam family "Bacterial small subunit ribosomal RNA", at positions 506 to 784 of the family's 1533-position model. The record is from RNAcentral.
UGCCAGCAGCCGCGGUAAUACGGAGGGUUCAAGCGUUUUCCGGAUUUAUUGGGUUUAAAGAGUGCGUAGGUGGUUUAUUAAGUCAGUGGUGAAAUCCUGCAGCUCAACUGUAGAACUGCCAUUGAUACUGGUAAACUUGAGUUUGGUUUAGGUAAGUGGAAUUUAUGAUGUAGCGGUGAAAUGCAUAGAUAUCAUAAGGAACACCAAUAGCGAAGGCAGCUUACUGGACCAUAACUGACACUGAGGCACGAAAGCGUGGGUAGCGAACAGGAUUAGAUA